CGGGAUGUAGUUCAGGUGGUAGAGCGCUUAUAUCGCACAUAUGAGGUCCCGGGUUCGAUCCCCGGCAUCUCCA
Molecule: non-coding RNA, 73 nt
Organism: Cricetulus griseus (Chinese hamster)
Lineage: Eukaryota; Metazoa; Chordata; Mammalia; Rodentia; Cricetidae
Source: Rfam